UUGUCCCGGGAAUAAGAUAAUAAUAAUAUAAUUUUGACCAACUUUUCACCCUGCAGCCUUGUUAAUUGAUGCCCUCCCCUCUUUCCCCAUUCGGUUUGCAAAGCUGACAUCACUUUUAUUACCUAUCAGUCUUUCAUACAUCUUUUUUUUAGCACACCGCUGAAUUUGCUUCUGAGAUUACAAUAAUCACAAUACAAUGCAGAACUGUCCAGGGUGUAUUCCUGCCUCUCGCCCAAUGCAUUCUGGGAUAGGCUGGGGAACUUCCCGCGACCCUGACUGGGAGUAAGUGGGUAUAGAUAAUGGAUGGAUCGAUAGAGAAUAGAAUGCAAAUGAGAGAGCCCUUACUGAAAUAACAGACCAGAGGAAAGUAUAAAAUGAACUGCGAGAUGACGCUCCCUCAUGUCUGACUGGAGGUUCCACAGAGAGAGAGAGAGAGAGAGAACGCGUGGAGAGAACGCAAGCAGCACCGGCCACGAUGACCUCAUCCAUGACAUCAGCGCUUGUGAUCAGCAUCCUGCUGCAAGUCGUCCGUCAGACCUGCGCUCAAGACCCCACGAGAAUAUUUCUCAUCCUGGACAACAACAAUUUUGACCAGCAAUAUAAGCCGAUCUUGAAAGAUCUCACUAAUGCACCUAUUCAACUGAGGCACAACGGGGUACGCUUUUCAGAAAGCAUACCUCCGAAGGUUAACGCGGUGGGGCAUAAAACUCUGUAUAUUAGUGCAAUGUUUAGUGAGGAUACAAAAGGUGAGAAACUGACCUGGGGAGAAGGUAAAUCUGCAGAGGACCUAGCUACAAUAGUCAGUGAAAUUUUCUCUGGGAGUCAAGAGCUCUUUGUCACGGUCGUGUUCCCUGAAAUAUGCUUAAAGACUUUCUGGGGUUACAAGUUUGUUGCAACAUUUGAGGCAAAGGUUCAAGGGUCAAACAGAAAUAUUGGUAUUGGAAUCCCAAGAGUAAAAAUCUAUUUAUUUGUCAAUCAAGAAAGGGAAAAUAAUAUAGAAGGUGAAAUAAACAAGACUCCUGUUUCAAAUACUAUAUGGGAUAAUACCGUGAACAGCAUUUUCUUUAAACUUGAAGAGAACGAGUUGGCACUGUUCUCAUCUAAAGAAAACUUGUGGAUUCAAAAGCCAGACGUACGUUUUGAUUCCGUUUUCAAAGGGUUGCAAAAAAUGAAAAUUGAGGAAGCUGAAAGCGUUACAGUUGUCAUAAAAGCAGAAUGUGUUAACAAGUACAGCGAAGAUAAUGUUGCUGACGCAGUGCACAGUAUUUUGGGGACAACGGGGCACGAACAUCAGCGAAUUAAAAUCGAGCUCAAAUGUUUGUCUGUGAACCGUCCCAAUCAAGAAGAGCACUUGUCAAAUACCCUAAUUGAUCAACUUAAAAACAAGUUCAAUAGGGCAUCCAUCUAUGGAAAGAGACCCAGUGUUGUUAUACACAUGGCCACCAAGGACUUUGAAAAUGAUGUGAAACGAAAAUUAAAGGUGGGACGCAGGACACAUUUAUAUGCAAGUUUACAGGGCACUCGUGUAACAAUAUUUGAUGCAAAAAACAAAAUUGUGGAAACGCCAAUCGAGGCCAUCAAAUCGGCUGAAGAAGUUUCAUUACAGGUCAAUUGUCACAGUAAUUUUGAAUCAGAAAUUUCAAGAAACCUCCCAACAAUCUGUGGUCAGUCCCCUACUGAAUUGGCGCAGUCAGUAAAAAACCUCUUCUCUGGUAUAGAUGGUUCAGUCCUGGAUAAGAAAUGGAUUGAACUGAGAUUGUACGCUUGUAAUUCCGGUACCACAACAGGCAAAACAUAUGUUGGAACAUUUUUGGAUACACUGAAGAAACACAUUAUUGAUGAAGUUUUAUCCUUUGUUGGAUGGAUUACACAACAAAACAAAGAAGUUAUAAUUGCUGUACCCAUGCAGUUAAAAUACUAUGCCGAAGAUAUCCUUCAAAAUAAAUAUCCUGAGGAACUGAAGGAUUUAAGAAAACAAAGCCUAGGAAUGUGGCAAUUGGAUCGUCUUAUGUAUGCCUAUGAGCACAACAUAUACGGCAGGUUCACUAUUCGGACCAAAUUGGAUGGCACAGAAUACAUAACAUUUCCAGUCCUACCAGCCACAGAAUAUGGGGUCUACAAGUUAAAAAAUUCCUAGAAGCUAGAUUAUUAACCAUGUUGUUAUGGGCCCCAUUUGUCCAAUCAAACAUUGGCUUUGUAGCUGCUGGGGAGGACCGCAGUAGAAAGUAGAGAAUAUGAUAAAUUUAGCCCAAGUAGAAAAUUUAGCUCAUCUGACUUUGAUUGAGAAACCACACCAGAAACCUAU
Long non-coding RNA from Anguilla rostrata (American eel), 2305 nucleotides. RefSeq lists it as uncharacterized. The transcript has 2 exons. The record is from RefSeq and is a predicted model, not a curated record. NCBI's taxonomy places the organism in Eukaryota, Metazoa, Chordata, Actinopteri, Anguilliformes, Anguillidae.